RNAcentral lists this ribosomal RNA (429 nucleotides) under uncultured Gemmatimonadota bacterium. RNAcentral's name for it is "bacterial SSU rRNA". It matches the Rfam family "Bacterial small subunit ribosomal RNA", at positions 958 to 1385 of the family's 1533-position model. Lineage: Bacteria; Pseudomonadati; Gemmatimonadota. The record is from RNAcentral.
AACGCGAAGAACCUUACCUGGGCUUGACAUACUGGUGUAAGCCGGUGGAAACAUCGGCCCCUCUUCGGAGCGCCAGCACAGGUGCUGCAUGGCUGUCGUCAGCUCGUGUCGUGAGAUGUUGGGUUAAGUCCCGCAACGAGCGCAACUCUCGCUCCCAGUUGCCAGCGGUUCGGCCGGGGACUCUGGGGGGACUGCCGGCGUUAAGCCGGAGGAAGGUGGGGACGACGUCAAGUCAUCAUGGCCCUUACGUCCAGGGCGACACACGUGCUACAAUGCCUGGUACAGCGCGUCGCGAACUCGCAAGAGGGAGCCAAUCGCCAAAAGCCGGGCUAAGUUCGGAUUGUCGUCUGCAACUCGACGGCAUGAAGCCGGAAUCGCUAGUAAUCGCGGAUCAGCCACGCCGCGGUGAAUACGUUCCCGGGCCUUGUA